GCUGGGUGUGGUGGCUCACGCCUGUAAUCCUAGCACUUUGGGAGGCUGAGGUGGGUGGAUCACCUGAGGUCAGGAGUUUGAGACCAGCCUGGCCAACAUGGUGAAACCCCGUCUCUA
RNAcentral lists this non-coding RNA (117 nucleotides) under Gorilla gorilla gorilla (western lowland gorilla). Lineage: Eukaryota; Metazoa; Chordata; Mammalia; Primates; Hominidae. The record is from Rfam by way of RNAcentral.